This is a long non-coding RNA of Ictidomys tridecemlineatus (thirteen-lined ground squirrel), 1830 nucleotides long. RefSeq lists it as uncharacterized. NCBI's taxonomy places the organism in Eukaryota, Metazoa, Chordata, Mammalia, Rodentia, Sciuridae. The record is from RefSeq and is a predicted model, not a curated record.
AAGACAAUAAAAUCGUGCAGCUCACCACUGAACUACACAUCAAAGGAGGCAAAACCUCGGUAUUCAUAGUAAUCAGAGAAAUCAGUGUAUGCAUGCUGCACCCAGCAUCGCCAGAAUGCAAGUGAGAGAAACACAGCCAAGGGCAAGGAUGUUGGAGCCACACUUUCAGGCCUUCACACCCCCCGUAACUGUGGGUUCUCACCCAGAUCCAAACUGAAGUACCUGCUGUUUCCUUCACAGAUGUGACCUUCAAAAGCACCACCUGGCCACCAACCAACAAGUGCACAUCUUUGUGUUGACAACACCAUUGAAUGUCAUCAAGUAAGAAGUGUGUGAAUGAUUUCCCAGGACACACCAGACAGUCAACUACUCAUGCAGAUAUUCAUCAAGCACGUAACACCUGCAAGGCCUGGGUACUGUGCAUGCCACUAAGAUGAGUAAGACCUUCUCUGAGACCUCACUUACCUGUUGAGGGCAUCAGAAAAGUACACAUGUGGAUAUGGACUGGGUACUCCUAAAAGAGGGUAACCAAGUCAGAAAAUAUUUAAAGUGGGAAAUUCAAGAAACAUAUGACCUCAAAGACUUUAUAAUUCUUGCUUCCACAACCAUCCAAAAGAAGUGAUCUCAAAUACCCUAAUCAUAUUAGAAGCCAACUGGGUGCUCCCCUCCAUCCUGUGGACCCAAUUUUCUGUUUUCCAUGAUCUUCUGGACAUUUCUAUCCAUCCUAAUGGUAGGAAUUGAAGCAGUUCUGAGAGCUUUUAUAGAUCAACCAUUGUUAGGAGGAGUAGAGAAUUUUCAUGUUCACAGCAAGAUCACAUGUUAAGUCUCUUUUUGAAGAUAUGGCCCCAUGUUAGAUUCACAGAUUUUCACCACCCACCAGUCUGGCAUGAGGUAUUUUCAAGCUGGGAGAGCAUAGCAAGAUGGCCUCCCACAGAGGAGCUUGGGGGUCCAGGGACAAUGAAGGGCCGUGGCUGGGAAAACAGUCAAGGUAUCUAUGCAACAAACAGCUAUAAUAGAUACUUGGGAAAAGAAACAAGGCCAAUCCUUCAACAAGGACUGGGAACAGUUAAAGACAUUUAGCCAGCUAUUCCAGAGCUUUAUGCAAAUCAACCUUCACAACUAGGAAGUAACUUCAAAAAAGAGCAAAGUAGUGGCAGGCAGUGGUUGCCACAGUGACUAAAGCAUGCUUUUGCCUUUUUGUCAGUUUUUUCUAAAUGAGAGGGUGGCGGGAAGAAGUUCUGUGAAGUCUAGCGGGAGCCCAGAGGAAGAGCUAAGCAGGGGCGUUUGAUCCUGAGAAGAAAAAGAGAGAACUGAUCCAAAAAGCAUGCCCCGAAGCUCGUGAUGAGGCAAGCUGCAAGUGAGCCUUUUUUGAAAAACAGGCUGAAGUGGCAGAAGCUUCCCAGCUCUGAGAAAUUUGGAUAUAGGUAAAAGCAUGGGGGCAGGAAGAAACUUAGCUAAGAGAUGGCAUUUGUGCAGAAUAAAAAAGAAGAAGAAAGAAAAGAAUGCAUUAAUUCAACAUACAGUGCAGGCAGAAGUUUGAACUAUAAUAAAGCAAACAUGAAGGAACUGCAGAUCUCUGAACUGCAAAGGUUUGCCAUUCUUCCAGAAUGUAAAAAGUGGUUCUGCUCUCAUCUGUAGGAUUUGUGAUGUGAUAUUAAAAGCUGAGUGUUGGUACAACAGGCCAGUCCGCCAAUAUUCCUGAACCAGCGCUCAGCUGGAGAGGGGAGGACCAAAUGGAGGGGAAAACCCUCAGGAUGUGGAAAUGCCAGAUGGUACUGCAAGAAUCAGGGGUGGAGGUGGACCUGGGUUUUCUUUUGGCCAUAAAAUAAA